Molecule: ribosomal RNA, 333 nt
Filed under: uncultured bacterium
Lineage: Bacteria
Description: bacterial SSU rRNA
Rfam family: Bacterial small subunit ribosomal RNA
Source: RNAcentral
AGCGAACGCUAGCGGCAGGCUUAACACAUGCAAGUCGAACGCGAAUCCUUCGGGAUUCGAGUGGCGAACGGGUGAGUAACACGUGGGUCACGUACCCUGAGGUGGGGAUAACCCGAGGAAACUCGGGCUAAUACCGCAUGUGCGCUUCGGCGUAAAAGUCUUCGGACGCCUUUGGAACGGCCCGCGGCCGAUUAUUUAGUCCUAGUUGGUGAGGUAACGGCUCACCAAGGGUACGAUCGGUAGCUGGCUGAGAGGACGAUCAGCCACACUGGGACUGAGACACGGCCCAGACUCCUACGGGAGGCAGCAGUGGGGAAUCUUGCGUAAUGCGCG